Long non-coding RNA from Hevea brasiliensis (rubber tree), 344 nucleotides. RefSeq lists it as uncharacterized. The transcript is spliced from 3 exons. Lineage: Eukaryota; Viridiplantae; Streptophyta; Magnoliopsida; Malpighiales; Euphorbiaceae. The record is from RefSeq and is a predicted model, not a curated record.
CCUACUAAAGCUUGUUAUUACUACUAAGAAGGAGAUUACAAGGAAAAAGAAGAGCAAAAGUUAGGGUUUUGAAGAUUUAAGAAAGUUGAAAAGAAUAUCGGGAAGGAACCCGAGGAACCGAGUCGAGGCUAAAGGACGACUCGUUUGAGAUACAGAGAUUAGAGGAGCAGCAGACUGAGCUGCUGAGGUGUGUGAAGUCAUCAGCUUGAAGUCUUCGGGUAUAAUUUAUACCCUAACUGUAAAUAUUUCUUUUGAUGUAUAUAUUGCACAUAAAUGUAUGGACAUGUACAUGGGUCUUGAGCAGCUUGUACAAAGUUUGUAUAAAAGUUGUAAUAAAUUUUAAU